RNAcentral lists this ribosomal RNA (393 nucleotides) under uncultured bacterium. RNAcentral's name for it is "partial 16S ribosomal RNA". It matches the Rfam family "Bacterial small subunit ribosomal RNA", at positions 523 to 918 of the family's 1533-position model. The record is from RNAcentral.
AUACGGAGGAUGCAAGCGUUAUCCGGAUUUAUUGGGUUUAAAGGGUGCGUAGGCGGUUUGCUAAGCGGGAGGUGAAAUGCCGGCGCUCAACGUCGGAAGUGCCUCCCGAACUGGUGGACUUGAAUGACUCUGCCGUGGGAGGAAUGUGUAGUGUAGCGGUGAAAUGCUUAGAGAUUACACGGAACACCGAUUGCGAAGGCAUCUCACGAAGGGUUGAUUGACGCUGAGGCACGAAAGCGUGGGGAUCAAACAGGAUUAGAUACCCUGGUAGUCCACGCAGUAAACGAUGAUGGCUAACCGCUGGGCUUAUCAGUUCAGUGGCCAAGCGAAAGCGAUAAGCCAUCCACCUGGGGAGUACGACCGCAAGGUUGAAACUCAAAUGAAUUGACGGGG